This 457-nucleotide ribosomal RNA is filed under the name Chydorus sphaericus. Its description in RNAcentral is "SSU rRNA". It matches the Rfam family "Eukaryotic small subunit ribosomal RNA", at positions 1240 to 1570 of the family's 1831-position model. Lineage: Eukaryota; Metazoa; Arthropoda; Branchiopoda; Diplostraca; Chydoridae. The record is from RNAcentral.
UUGACAGAUUGAGAGCUCUUUCUUGAUUCGGUGGGUGGUGGUGCAUGGCCGUUCUUAGUUGGUGGAGCGAUUUGUCUGGUUAAUUCCGAUAACGAACGAGACUCUAGCCUGCUAAAUAGGUGGCUGGUUUUUAAUUGAAAUUGAGGGGUCUAUCGCCGGUGGGAACCGGGCGUGGGCGGGUGCGCGGUGUUGGUAAGUGCGCGCGCUGCGGGCACCCGUGGUGUGCGAGGCUGCCGGUGUCGCGUGUCUGUCUGCGUCCCCCGCUGUGUGGUAGAUCUCGCGUCAGUCACAGCUCUUCUUAGAGGGACAAGCGGCGUCCAGCCGCGUGACAGUGAGCAAUAACAGGUCUGUGAUGCCCUUAGAUGUCCUGGGCCGCACGCGCGCUACACUGAAGGAAUCAGCGUGUUUCACUCUCCCUGUCCGAAAGGACCGGGUAACCGCUGAACCUCCUUCGUGG